RNAcentral lists this unclassified non-coding RNA (263 nucleotides) under plant metagenome. Its description in RNAcentral is "partial contains small subunit ribosomal RNA, internal transcribed spacer 1, and 5.8S ribosomal RNA". The record is from RNAcentral.
UUUCCGUAGGUGAACCUGCGGAAGGAUCAUUAUUGUAUACCCAAGGUGCGAGGGCUGUCGCUGACCCGAAAGGUCGUGCACGCCCGAGUUCCCGCACACAUAUCCAUCUCUCCCCUAUGUGGACCACCGCGUGGCUCCCCCUUUGGCCUGUUCGGAGGUGGGCUUACGUUUUCACACACACUUUGUAUUCAGUGUAGAAUGUAUUUUUUGUUUUUGCGAUCACGCAAUCAAUACAACUUUCAACAACGGAUCUCUUGGCUCUC